GCUGGCGUGGCUCAACGGUAGAGCAGCUGAUUUGUAAUCAGCAGGUUGGGAGUUCGAUUCUCUUCGCCAGCUCCA
RNAcentral lists this transfer RNA (75 nucleotides) under Anaerovorax sp. RNAcentral describes it as "tRNA-Thr". It matches the Rfam family "tRNA". From Rfam's summary of the family: Transfer RNA (tRNA) molecules are approximately 80 nucleotides in length. Their secondary structure includes four short double-helical elements and three loops (D, anti-codon, and T loops). RNAcentral also lists the same sequence under 6 other names. Lineage: Bacteria; Bacillati; Bacillota; Clostridia; Peptostreptococcales; Anaerovoracaceae. The record is from RNAcentral.